Chelonus insularis is the source of this 1316-nucleotide long non-coding RNA. RefSeq lists it as uncharacterized. Lineage: Eukaryota; Metazoa; Arthropoda; Insecta; Hymenoptera; Braconidae. The record is from RefSeq and is a predicted model, not a curated record. The transcript has 5 exons.
AAUUCCAGUUGAAAUUUUCUUCAUUGAACGUAUACUCAAUGAGUAAAUAAAUUGAUUUAUAAAUUAAAAAUAAUCUAUAAAUUUUAAAAUAGAUCCUUAUGUUAUACAUAGAUAAAACAUAGAUUGAUUAUCAUUAUUUAUUCUGUCCGGCUAAUGAACCAUUGAAUUAUUGGUAAAAACCCUAAAAAAAUUCCUGGAACAGAUCUUUUGAACUCCGAUGAUGUGUCAUGUGAACUGAAAAAAAAUCACGAAUAGAUUUUUUCUUCUUCUACUACCUUUCGCUUGGUCUAAAAAUGAAGGUUGGCAAGGACGUACGUGAUCUUCCUCACAUCAAAAUCUUUGGUCCAUUGAGAAAUUUACCAACGUUACGAUUAUUAAAAAUAAAUAAUUAGUUUUUUGCUAAAUAAUUACUUUGAAAAAUCAAAAAGAUAUAAGAUAUUUGAUCGUAAUAUAAAAAAUAUAAUAAACAGAUACAGCUUUUCAUCCGAUAUCGUUAAAUAAAAAAGAUGAUUCAUGAUGUAAGUUUGUGAAGAAUGUACGAAAUCUAACUUUCUAUCACCGGAAAUUCCACUCUGAAUCCUGACGAAUUUCACAGAAAUGCAGUAGAUGGAGAACUUACUGAUGUAAAUUUUUAUGUGCCGAUGUCAGCGAUGUGUGUAAAAGAAUGUCGCUGAAUCAUUGCGUGUAAAACGCAAGCUACACGUAAGUUAAAGCUUUCCUGUUUCUUCAGCCAUUGACAGGAAUAAACGUGUUAGGAGAAUGUGAACACGUUCAAAUUAAGGUUCCUGUCCUAAAAUCUAUCUGUAAUAUAAUAAUCAAGCUAUCAUUAAUUAUUUUUCAACAAAAUAUGAUAAUUGAUUAAUGGUAUUUUUCAAUUUUUAUGUAAUAAUUAUUCAUAUGGUUUUCGGAAAAAUAGACACGUGCUCUUUGUAAUAUAUUGUGGAUUGCCUAUUAAUUAAACAACAUCAACAAAUAUCAAAAUGAAUGGAGUUACUAUUAUAUGUUAAUUUAAUGUUAUUAAUUUGACGAUAUAAAAUCACACAAUAAUCUGCUACUCAAUAGAGCACCAUAUAACUAUAUUGUUAUCAUUGUGAUGAUGACGUUAUUUCUACUGUUCAUUAUGUUUAUAAUUACUAGGUACUGUAGCUGAAUAGUAAAUACGUUUGAUGGAAAUAAAGUGGGGAGUAAAACUCGCGAGGAAUAAACGUCGUUCUUGUUUAGCCGUUUAUGCAUUACCCUAGGUCAAGAGCACAUACUCCCACUCACCAUGUCUUUCAUCUUCUUAUUGAUGUUACCCAUCUUUCACAGCUAUUUUA